GUAGGCGUCACUGUUUCCUAGGAAACCGCGCGGCCCUUCAUCCAGAGAAGAGUCCGGCCACCGUGGCCGCCUCUUCGCCCCAUUGUAGUCAUUGGUGAGGGGCCCAUUGCGCGGCUGGCACGGUCACGACGUAAUGUAGCACCGAACACCAGUACAUCACACCGUGAUGAAGUACAGUUUGUCCUAAGGAUUAAUCCAUACUAUGGAAAGCCCCGAAGACCUCUGCUUUCCUGAAGAAGGAUGUGACAGCAGCAUAGUUCUUGAAAAGCAAGUUUUUGGAUCCCAAGUAUCAGAAUCACAUGUUCAGCUUGCUUGCAGCCUCCAUUACUGUGCUUUUCCUUUGAAUGGAAACGAGCUUUGUAUUUUGGAUACGACUGAUGAUCCUGAGCACCAGCCAUUACACUUAAUUGGCCAUCACCAUUCGAUUACUGCAGUGGCAUUUGGAAGUAAGGUCAGUCCACUUCUAAUUUGCUCUGCUUCGAGUGACUAUGUGAUAGUGUGGGAUCUGGACGCAUGUAUGAAGAAGGUGCUAGAAGGAUUAAUGCCACAAGGUGUUGUUAUAGGGACACUCCUGGGCAUGGUGCUUUAUGUCCGAUUUAGUCCAGAUGAUCAGACUGUGGCAGUUUGUGCUGGCAAUAGGAUUUACAUGUUAAAUGCAAAGGAUGAGGCUAUACUUGCAGAACUAGAGGGCCAUUUGGCUCCAGUGACAGCUGCUGAGUUUUGUACUUGGGAGAAAAAUAUACUGAUAUCAGUGUCUGAAGACAGAAGUUUUAAGGUAUGGGAUUAUUGUACUGGACUGCUAAUAUAUCAAUCAGCAGUAAUAACAGCAUUUCCUCUUUUAAGUCUCUUCAUUGAUGACGAAAAUAAACAGAUCAUCACUGGAUGUGCAGAUGGACAGCUGUGGAUCUUCAGCUUGAGUAGAGGGCACCAAUAUCGCUGUGUGGUACAUAUUAAUGUACAGAAAGAGAGGGAGAAGUUUUACAACAAAAUUGGAAAAUCUGAACAUUUGGAUCAGAUUCAGAAUUCAUCAAAGGCAUAUACUUCAAAUGAUUUAAGAUAUGAAGAAACAGUUGAAUCCAGUUUUCCUGUUCUCCAAAUUGAACACUGUGACAAAUCUGCAAAUUUAGAGGAUGAAGUACCCAGUUUUUCUUAUGCAAAUGCCCGAUGCUUAUGGAUAGGAAGUUCUACUGGUUUGUUCAUAAUUAACAUGGCAAACUUUGAAUUGGAAGCUAUUCUACAUUUUAGAGAUUUCAGUGCUCUCAGCAUUCAGUCAGCUGGAUCAUGUGCUAUAAUGAAGAAGGCAGUCAGUGGUAAGGUAUGUUGCGUGCUAACUUCAAUGUUUGAGAACAGAAUUGCCUUACUGGAGGUGAAUGUUGCUGCUCUGUUGAGAUCCCAACAAAAUGAACUCCAUUUAAGUGGAAAGGAAAAAAGGCUUUCAGUCAUUGCCAGGUGUUCCCUCUUACCAACCUCUCCAUUAUGCCUGAAGAAGGAAAAAAACAUCUUGGGAAAUAGAAAAGAUAUAAAGAGCUCUGUAAAAGAUCAGCCACUGGUUUUCCAUAACAAAAUUAAGUCAUCAGGUUAUACAUCAGCACCACAAAUGACUAUGUUUUCUCCAAAGAUGAAUACAAAGCCAAAGAGUUCAGUACCAAAAGGCAAGAAAAGUAACAAACGAAGAAAUGAAGAAUAUCCACUUCCAAAAUCUCCUCCAACCAAAUUUGAGAGGCAGGUUACUGUUGCUGACAAAUCAACAUCUGUAUGCUGUAUUCAAUAUUCAGGAGAUGGAGAGCUCUUGGCUUGUGGUUUAGCUGACAAAACAUUGUUGGCAUUCAAGUCAAACCUCACAGGAACGCCAACUGUUUAUUCAGGGCAUGAUGGUGCUGUUAACUCGGUUGGUUGGAGCCUUGAUAACCACUGGCUUGUUUCAUCUUCUGAAGACAGAACAUUAAGGAUCUGGUCAGUCAGCAGUGCAGAGCCUGCUUUAUGUCUGGGAAAGGAACUUUUUCAUAAACCCAUCAGAUCAGCCCAGUUCUAUUACAUAGAUACAUUUAUACUGCUAUCCUGUGGAGCAGAGUUUUAUUUGUUAAGAUACUAUCUGGACACUAGCAAAGAUGAGUUUAAACGGUACAAAAGUAAGAGCAUUUGCAAAUCAAUACAGAAAUUUCGCAUGACAUCUACAGUGGAAAUUUCCAGUCUUUCAGCUGUAAAUGAAUUCUAUUCUUAUAACAGAUAUUGUUCUGGCAGCUGGCAGCAACCGAGCACUAGAAGUGUUUGACCUCAACGUUGGCUGUAGUGCAGCAGUAAUAACAGAUGCUCAUUCUAGAUCAGUUCACCAGAUUUGCCAAAAUAAGGACAAAAUGUGAUCAGAAAAAGAAGAUUUGAUCCCUUUGCAAUUUGAAAAAAGUCUGAAGGAAGAUCGCUAAAGACCUUAAAAAGGACAAGGAAUUCCAAAAUCUAAUCAAACUUGCUUCCAUAAGUUUCAGAUAUGCUGUUGACUAGUUAGAGUUGAACAUUCCUGUUUGAAGUGAGGGCAAGGAGUUUUGGGGCCACUCAGCUGCCCUGAGUCCCCUUGGGUGAGAAGGGCGGGGUAGAAAUGUUGUAAAUAAAUAAAUAAAAUGACUAUGGGCUUCAUGAAGCUUAGGGGUUACACUUUGUUCAGCCCCUGUUUAAGCAUUGCUUCCCAGUUUGCAUCAUUUUGGAUCCAUUGUGAAGUUCUUAAGCUGUUGGAUUUUAUCAAAGAGAGAAAUAAUAUGAUCGUUCAAUAUAAAGGUCAGCAUAGGAAGACUAUUGUGUGUUAGAGAACUGACAAUAAUCUGCAAAUUCUAUUUGAAGAAGGAAAGACGUUGCAGAAUAGAGUAUUCCUGUUCAGGUUUUCAGUGAGCCUUUCUUCAAGUUUUAUCUCAACCUCCUGGGAGCCUCUGGUGGCCUAGGGGAUAAAAGCCUUGUCACUUGAAGGUUGGGUUGCUGUCCUGAAGGCUGCCAGGUUCGAAUCCCACCAGGGGAGAGCGCAGAUGAGCUCCCUCUAUCAGCUCCAGCUCCAUGCGGGGACAUGAGAGAAGCCUCCCACAAGGAUGGUAAAACAUCAAAACAUCUGGGCGUCCCCUGGGCAACGUCCUUGCAGACGGCCAAUUCUCACACUCCAGAAGUAACUCCGCUUGCUCCUGACAAGAAAAAAAAAAUCUCAACCUCCUUGACAUUUCCCCACAAAUGGUCCACAUCCUGGGAUCUUGGAACAUGCUUUGUCUUCUUUAGUCUGCUUUUCCAUCUCCCCAGCUCCCAACCUUAAGAUUUUUUUUGUAUUUUUUUUUAUUCUAGUCCAUUACCAUUAGCCCUUUGGGAUGUUACACAAUGGCAUACAAUCUGUCAUACUCAAUAUGUUGAAAUCUGUGAAUAUUGACUUGAACCCUGAUUGUAUUUUAUGGUCAUAAACUCUCAUUGGUUUCACUUAAGUAUAUUUCCAAGCACUCAUACUUAGGUCAGAGUUUUAGUUAAAAUAUUUUUAUGAUGUUGGAUUGGCAUCAUUAGAGCUAAAAUAACAUAAUUAUUACAAAAAGUAGUCUGUCAGCAGUUCCAGUUAAUUCAGAUGUUCUUUUAGUAUUUAUGCAACUCCUUAAAACAUUCACUCUGAGCUGAAGUUUGUUUUGUCAUAAUCAGAAAGGGGAAAGUAGUCCCUAAAUUUAGUCUAAAUAAAUUCCACAUUCUACAUAUCGGAAGUGCAAAACACUUUUUGUGGUUUCCAAUAUUUCUUGGUAAUCCAUAAAUCAAAAAUUUAAAUACAUUUUCAAAGAUGUUA
RNA transcript from Anolis carolinensis (green anole), 3790 nucleotides. It is a transcript of the gene named WD repeat domain 27, with no coding region annotated. The record is from RefSeq and is a predicted model, not a curated record. The transcript is spliced from 23 exons. Lineage: Eukaryota; Metazoa; Chordata; Lepidosauria; Squamata; Anolidae.